UACGUAGGGUGCAAACGUUGCUCGGAAUCACUGGGCGUAAAGCGCACGUAGGCGGAUCUUUUAAGUCAGGGGUGAAAUCCCGAGGCUCAACCUCGGAACUGCCUUUGAUACUGGGGAUCUCGAGUCCGGAAGAGGUUGGUGGAACUCCGAGUGUAGAGGUGAAAUUCGUAGAUAUUCGGAAGAACACCAGUGGCGAAGGCGGCCAACUGGUCCGGUACUGACGCUGAGGUGCGAAAGCGUGGGGAGCAAACAGG
RNAcentral lists this ribosomal RNA (254 nucleotides) under uncultured bacterium. RNAcentral describes it as "partial 16S ribosomal RNA". It matches the Rfam family "Bacterial small subunit ribosomal RNA", at positions 524 to 776 of the family's 1533-position model. The record is from RNAcentral.